CUUUCCAAACAGAGUUCAGUGCUUAAGAAAGCUCAGAGGUGUUAGCACAUCAGACGUGGAGGGGACAUUCUUUACUCACUGCCAUUUAACCAACACAUGAUGAUCUUGGAAUUGCAAAUAGCCGCAGUAGAGCAAAAUUUCUCCAGGAAUUGAGGUUUGCCAGUGUAAGCACUGCAGACAUGCAGCUCUGACCAUCACUGAACAUAAAAGAAUUUAUGAUCUGUCACUUUUAGACAUUAUCAUGGUUUCCACAAGCCAGUUCAAGUUAGCAGAAAACUGAGUCUAUUAAUAAAUGAUUUGGGCAUUUUGGAACACCCUGGAAUCUCAGCGGGGCAGACUGAAGAUGGCCUCACAUUCUUGGACAGGUCUGCCUCUGAGAAGUAGGGUCUAAUCUUCCUUCCUCUGAAUCUGGCUUGACCUUCAUGGCUCUUGGCCGUCAGUAGAACAUGGUGCAAGUGAUGCUGGGUGAUUUUUUUCACCAAAGGCUGCGUAUCUUCUGCUUUUUUAAUUGACCAUCCUGGGCCACGUGCUGAGAGGCCACCUGCAGGUGCUCUGUUUGAUAAUCCUACCAGACACUGGGUACCCAUGUAAAGCUGCCUUUCCCCCCUACUCCGACCAGCCUAUCCACCAAAUGGACACCCUGAGUGACCUUUGUUAGUGUCACAGGAACAGAGGGAUCACCCAAGAAAGCCAUGCUCACAUUCCUGACUCUCAACAUCAUAAGGUAUCUAAAACAGAGAUUUUAGGUUCCUAAAUUUGGGGGUAGUUUGUUACGCAGCAAUUGGUGACUCAGUCACGUAGCUUACAUUUUCCUCUGAACUGGUGAAGUCUGGGUGGGUAAAGAGACAGGGCCAAGGUGGGAGGUUUAAAGCAGUUUGGAGUCAGCCAGGCAGAGGAAAGGAACCUUGGUCCCUCUAUUUGGUGCCUGCAUUUUUUCCCCUUUGAGUCACUGUGGGAUCGGAAGACUGUCAUUCAAGAACAUAAACCACCAGGGUAUACAACAACAGGCUGCAUUAUCAAGCAGACUUCCCAGAACAAGAUGUGCCUUUGUUGUAAUAAUUCCUUGUGAGAAUUUUACAAGGAAAUAAGCUUUUCAUCUCCAUGUAUAAGCUUCAGUUGGUAUCAGGCCAUAUUAUUAAAUCAGGAUUAAAAAUAGCCCUGGCAUUUUUCAAGCAUAACUCAUAUAUGAGAAAAAAUGGAGAGUGCUAUGUUAUUUGUUCAUGUACUUUUUAUGACUUGAUUCCACCUGCUGUGACAAUAGACGCUAACAUCACUAAGCCUCUUGCCAGAAUUGAAAGCCCAAAGCCUCGGGGUUUGGUAACUAAGCUACGUGGGUCAACCAUUUAAUCCAUCUAAUAAUGAAUUAAUUGUUACAGCCAUCGGAAGGAAUACAUGCAAUAUAUAGCUGGGAAUAUGUGAAGGAUUAGGAGGCUUUUGAAAAGUUCAGAUCCAUGUUACAAAAUUUUAAGAGCUAAGAUGUAUUUCUUUGGAUUUAGGUGUGAUAAUGAAUGAAAUUAUUUCUAGAUUCUAAGGACCUGAAGAGGGAGCAGUGUGCUUUAAGGUUGUGUGUGAUCCCCGUGAGACCCGGAGUGAGCAAUUGGUAGCAAGUUGGACCAACAGCGCGCGGAGUGGUCAGAUGUAGCUCUGUGCUGCGGGGCUGGGUGGCUGGCUGCAGCCAUUGAGUAGGCCAACAGGCCAGAGCCCCUGGAGAAAGUGUGCAGCCUUGUAUUUAUUUAAGAAAACAGAAUCCAUUUUUCUUUCUCUAAAAUAGGACUCCCUGCACCUAAAGUAGCAUUUUUUUCUUUGUGGUCUUCGGGGAAGUGUGAUGCAUAUCAUUUGUGUCGUGGGAUUAGCUAGCAGGAAAGCAG
RNAcentral lists this long non-coding RNA (1868 nucleotides) under Marmota monax (woodchuck). Lineage: Eukaryota; Metazoa; Chordata; Mammalia; Rodentia; Sciuridae. The record is from RNAcentral.